GGCUUAGGACGAACGCUGGCGGCGUGCCUAAUACAUGCAAGUCGAACGGUCUUUCUAUGGAAGCUUGCUUCCACUGAGAAGAUAGUGGCGAACGGGUGAGUAACACGUGGGUAACCUGCCCAUAAGAGGGGGGAUAACAUCCGGAAACGGGUGCUAAUACCGCAUAGUUUUCUUGAUCGCAUGAUUGAGAAAGGAAAGACGGCCUUUGUGCUGUCGCUUAUGGAUGGACCCGCGGCGUAUUAGUUAGUUGGUGAGGUAAUGGCUCACCAAGACGAUGAUACGUAGCCGACCUGAGAGGGUGAUCGGCCACAUUGGGACUGAGACACGGCCCAAACCCCUACGGGAGGCAGCAGUAGGGAAUCUUCCGCAAUGGACGAAAGUCUGACGGAGCAACGCCGCGUGAGUGAAAGAAGGUUUUCGGAUCGUAAAACUCUGUUGUCAGAGAAGAACAAGUUGGAGAGUAACUGCUCCAGCCUUGACGGUAUCUGACCAGAAAGCCACGGCUAACUACGUGCCAGCCGCGGC
This 525-nucleotide ribosomal RNA is filed under the name uncultured bacterium. RNAcentral's name for it is "bacterial SSU rRNA". It matches the Rfam family "Bacterial small subunit ribosomal RNA", at positions 21 to 518 of the family's 1533-position model. The record is from RNAcentral.